RNAcentral lists this ribosomal RNA (927 nucleotides) under uncultured bacterium. RNAcentral's name for it is "bacterial SSU rRNA". It matches the Rfam family "Bacterial small subunit ribosomal RNA", at positions 8 to 916 of the family's 1533-position model. The record is from RNAcentral.
AGAGUUUGAUCCUGGGUCAGAAUGAACGCUGGCGGCGUGCCUAACACAUGCAAGUCGUACGAGAAAGGGGCUUCGGCCCUGAGUAGAGUGGCGCACGGGUGAGUAACGCGUGGGUAAUCUACCCUUGGAUUUGGGAUAACUCUGCGAAAGUGGAGCUAAUACCGGAUAGUCUGGCUUUAAUUGAUAAGUCGGUAAAGGAUGCCUCUGCAUAUGCAUUCGUCCGAGGAUGAGCCCGCGUCUCAUUAGCUAGUUGGUAGGGUAAUGGCCUACCAAGGCAACGAUGAGUAGCUGGUCUGAGAGGAUGAUCAGCCACACUGGAACUGAAACACGGUCCAGACUCCUACGGGAGGCAGCAGUGGGGAAUAUUGCGCAAUGGGCGAAAGCCUGACGCAGCAACGCCGUGUGAGGGAUGAAGGCUUUCGGGUCGUAAACCUCUGUCGGAAGGGAAGAACGGGCAUUGGUCUAAUAGGCCUUUGUUUUGACGGUACCUUUAGAGGAAGCACCGGCUAACUCCGUGCCAGCAGCCGCGGUAAUACGGGGGGUGCAAGCGUUGUUCGGAAUCAUUGGGCGUAAAGAGCGUGUAGGCGGCUUAACAAGUCAGAUGUGAAAUCCCUGGGCUUAACCCAGGAAGUGCAUUUGAAACUGUUUGGCUUGAGUAAGGGAGAGGAAAGUGGAAUUCCUGGUGUAGAGGUGAAAUUCGUAGAUAUCAGGAGGAACACCGGUGGCGAAGGCGACUUUCUGGCCCUAUACUGACGCUGAGACGCGAAAGCGUGGGUAGCAAACAGGAUUAGAUACCCUGGUAGUCCACGCUGUAAACGAUGUUCACUAGGUGUUGGGGGUAUUGACCCUUUCAGUGCCGCAGCUAACGCAUUAAGUGAACCGCCUGGGGACUACGGUCGCAAGACUAAAACUCAAAGGAAUUGACGG